Molecule: long non-coding RNA, 2727 nt
Organism: Equus caballus (horse)
Lineage: Eukaryota; Metazoa; Chordata; Mammalia; Perissodactyla; Equidae
Source: Ensembl
CAGUCGGAGUCUGGGAGGAGAGGGGACGUUUCCUAUCGAUCAACAUCCGCAGACAGUGGAUCUACUUUGGCCAUGAGGGUGAGGACCAUGCAUCCACCUUGUAGGAUUGCUCACUCAGUUCUUGCUGCUCUCUUACCAAAAGAAUAACCGAUCCUGUCACUGGUGCCAAGAUGCCAGUUGCCCCUCCCUUCCUGUGAGUCGGUUGGUUCCAUUCCUGGGGAGUAGCAGCCCGCAGAAGGAGGGUGUCUGGUCCUCUAGCAGCUCUCAGACGUAACUCAGACCCCGAGGAAGCCAGGGCCUCAGCUGGUUACCGUGGAAACAUGGCCCAGGGAAAGCUGCUCUUCCCACAUCCCACUCCGCAGAUGCAUUUUGGUGACCUCCUUAGCAAUCCUAACCAGUGGCCUCUGAAAGUUUCCUGCUUGCUCCCUCCCCAGCCCACCCGCUCUCUCACCGGCUCUGGAGAUGAAAGCGAGGAUCAUUUUGCAUCCUUGAGCCUGUGGAGUUUCCCGCUGUGGGAUACAAUCAAGGAACACUUAUUGAAUACCUGGUCUGUGCUUGGGCCUGAGUGCAGCCUUUUUCCCUAAACCAGAAGACACUGAAGAGGUGGAGCAGGGUGGCCAAGAGCUUACGUUCUGGAGCCCAAUUGUCUGGGUUCAGAUCCUGCAACCAUCGUCUUGCCAUGCGUGGUGCUUUUAAAAUACGUCUGCACAUCCUUUAACCCGCCUCCCACCAGCAGCCGUUUAGUUCCCCUUCCGCUGACUGUGAGGGAGUCGUCCUCAGGGAUAAAUGUGGUGGGAGCGAUAAUGCAACUUCCCAGGGCUUGGUCAGGAAAGGUGGUACAGACUCUGCCCGUACCACCUCUCUCUCUCUCUCUUUGUACUUGUGCCUUGGGAGCCCUGAACCACCAUGUGAGAAGUUCGGCCACCCUGAAGCCAUGCUGGAGACGCCAAGAUGAGAGACCACAGAGAAAGAGAGACUUGACGGAGGAGCCCCAGCUCCUGGCCUCAGCAUCACCGGGAGGGUGGGGGCCUUCAGAUGGUCCCCAAGCCAUCUAGCGAUGCAGAGUGGAGCAGGGGCAAGCUGACCCCACCACGGCCCACCCAAAUCACAGAUGCACAAGCAGAAUAAAUGUUAUCGUUGGUUUAUGCCACUAAGUUCUGGAACAUCUCCAUCCUGAACAUUCUACAAAACUGGAAAAGUUGUAAACCACGAUACGUCCCUCUCCUCAUCUGCAUUGUGGGAACGGUCCCUGUACUUCCUUCCUGGAGCUGUGGAGAGGAUUCAGUGUGUUACAAACAGUCUGGGACACACCCAGUGAGCUCAGCGGCUGUCAGCGUAACCCAGCGCACGAGGGCAGAGGGCCCUUUGGGCUGCGCUGUGGGGAAAGCGUGGAGUCCAGAAGGCAGACACCCUCCUUGAGUGUUUCGAGGGGUCUAGAGCUGGAGUUCUGGAGGCCUCUAUUGAAACUCAUGUUAAGGAGGUGAGACAUGCGGGGGAAGCAACCAUGCAGAAGGGCAUGCUGGGAGCAGGGCGUCCCUCCCCUCCUGUUUCCCCGUCUUCCCGGCUCCCAUCCCCAGAGGCAACCAGAACUUGGGGACCAGCUUCUCGGAUGGCCUCCUGGAGAUUGUCACUUCAUAUGUAGCAUUUAUGCAAAAAAAAGGAGAAAGACAGACAGACAGACAGGGAAAGGGAGGGAGGAAGGGAAGGAAAGAAAAGAAAAAGAAAGUCGUUAACAGCUCCAUGAGGACAGGGAUCUGCCUGUUUCUUUCCCUGCUGCCUGCAGUGUCAAGAUCAGCGCCUCGUCCUGGCUCGUGAUCAGUAAAUACGUGAAGCAUGAACGUGGCCUUCUCUAUUCCAGGGGGAGCAUCCCAAACACGCUGCUCUCGGCUCACCGUCUGCAGUACCUUCCGUUGGGAGGUCACUCCUUCUCCACGUCCUGAGCUGCCUCGUUCUUUUGCUGGUGGACAAUGGUUCACCGUGGGGCCAUAUCGGGUGCAUGGGACCGUUCUUACUGAUGGAGACGCCACGCGGUUUGAUUCCAAGCUUUUGCUGCUGGGCAGGAAGACCCUCAUUCCUUGUGAGCACUGUGAAACAAUCCACCACAUCAAGCGUGAGCCGAAUCAGCCCCUCAGGAUGCUCCGGAGGACUCACGUGCGCAUUCACUCCUCCACUGGGAUUCACAAGGAGCUGGGAUGUGUUGGAUCCUGUUCAAGUCACCGGAGACGAAGCAGAGAACGAACAAGGAGCCUGCCCUGGAGGAGCUUCCGUUCCCCUGGGGAAACAGAUGACGCACCAGCGAACCAAUGAAGGGGUCACAGCCAAGGUUGGAUACAGCCUCCGUGCUGUCCGAGACACGGGAACAGGGCUCCACAAGUGGUUCCAGAUGCCGCGGGCCCCAUGCAGAGAGGUUGCUGGAAACCAGAUGCCUCCAGGAAGCCACGGGCCAUGCUGCCCCCAGCACCACCCCUGAGUCCCACGGAGAAGGCUGCUGAGGAAUUCGGCCCCAGGCCAGGCAGGGUGUGCCUGGGACUCCAGCCCCUCCAUUCCCUGAUGACAAAAUCUUCUUCGACUGCUCAAGACGCCUUGGCAGAGGCUGCGCGUGCAGGCGCCAGUCUAUUCAAGUUUUGCGUUCUUAUGUAAAAAUCCAGAUCUCAGGCUGCCUUUGUGGAGACCACGCACGUGGCAACAUCAGGCUGGCAUCCUUGGGUAGUGACUGUACACACUACC